GCCGGAGUGGCGGAAUUGGCAGACGCCUGGGACUUAAAAUCCCAUGGGUGGUAACGCCCGUACGAGUUCGAGCCUCGUCUCCGGCACCA
This 89-nucleotide transfer RNA is filed under the name Nitrospiraceae bacterium. RNAcentral's name for it is "tRNA-Leu". It matches the Rfam family "tRNA". From Rfam's summary of the family: Transfer RNA (tRNA) molecules are approximately 80 nucleotides in length. Their secondary structure includes four short double-helical elements and three loops (D, anti-codon, and T loops). Further hydrogen bonds mediate the characteristic L-shaped molecular structure. tRNAs have two regions of fundamental functional importance: the anti-codon, which is responsible for specific mRNA codon recognition, and the 3' end, to which the tRNAs corresponding amino acid is attached (by aminoacyl-tRNA synthetases). tRNAs cope with the degeneracy of the genetic code in two manners: having more than one tRNA (with a specific anti-codon) for a particular amino acid; and 'wobble' base-pairing, i.e. permitting non-standard base-pairing at the 3rd anti-codon position. Lineage: Bacteria; Pseudomonadati; Nitrospirota; Nitrospiria; Nitrospirales; Nitrospiraceae. The record is from RNAcentral.